This 391-nucleotide ribosomal RNA is filed under the name uncultured soil bacterium. RNAcentral describes it as "bacterial SSU rRNA". It matches the Rfam family "Bacterial small subunit ribosomal RNA", at positions 26 to 389 of the family's 1533-position model. The record is from RNAcentral.
AGGACGAACGCUGGCGGCGUGCUUAACACAUGCAAGUCGAGCGGUAAGGCCUUUCGGGGUACACGAGCGGCGAACGGGUGAGUAACACGUGGGUGAUCUGCCCUGCACUCUGGGAUAAGCCUGGGAAACUGGGUCUAAUACCGGAUAUGACCUGCUCUCGCAGUGGGGGGUGGGUAGGAAAGUAUUUAUCGGUGCAGGGAUCGGGCCCGCGGCCUAUCAGUCUUUGGUUGGGUGGGGUAAUCGGCCUACCGAAGGCGACGACGGGUAGCCGACUGGAGGAGGGUCGACCGGCCACGACGUGGACUGACGACGACCGGCCAGACCUCCGUACGGGAGGCAGCGAGGUAGGGAAUAGUUGACAACGAAGUGGGACGAAACGCCUAGAUGGACA